GAGUUUGAUCCUGGCUCAGAACGAACGCUGGCGGCAGGCCUAACACAUGCAAGUCGAACGCCCUCUUUUCGGGAGGGAGUGGCGCACGGGUGAGUAACGCGUGGGAAUCUGCCUCGAGGUGGUGGAUAAACCUUCCGAAAGGAGGGCUAAUACAGCAUGAGACCACGUUCUCGCAAGAGGAUGAGGUAAAAGCGGGCCACUAAUACAUAAGCUCGCGCCACGAGAUGAGCCUGCGGCCCAUCAUGGUAGUUGGUAGGGUAACGGCCUACCAAGCCGAAGACGGGUAACUGGUCUGAGAGGAUGGUCAGCCACACUGGAACUGAGACACGGUCCAGACUCCUACGGGAGGCAGCAGUGGGGAAUCUUGCGCAAUGGGCGAAAGCCUGACGCAGCGACGCCGCGUGAGUGAUGAAGGCC
RNAcentral lists this ribosomal RNA (417 nucleotides) under uncultured delta proteobacterium. RNAcentral describes it as "bacterial SSU rRNA". It matches the Rfam family "Bacterial small subunit ribosomal RNA", at positions 9 to 416 of the family's 1533-position model. The record is from RNAcentral. Lineage: Bacteria; Deltaproteobacteria.